AAUUAACCAAAUUGAUCCCUAAUUAUCAUUUCUAUCAUGCUUAAUAACAAUUAAACUUAGCCAAUUUAAUCAAUUAACACAUAGAUCACAAAGUCCCAAUUUUUAACUAAACUAAACUUUUUGAAAAUUUGUAAACAUGCAUAAAUCAUUAAUCCAACCUUAGAUCUAUCAAUUGCACACUUAAUAGCAUAAAUAAACAAUCAAUUAGUAAAUUAAACCAUAGAAUCAAUUUUACCCAAAUUACAUCAAACUAACUCAUAUCAAAAAUUACUAAUCAAUUUCAACCAUCAAUCCAAUCCAUCAAAUCUCAUAUAAACACUCUCAAUAGCAUAUAUCAUCCAUCAAUUCAUCAAUCAAGCCUCAAAUACAAAACUUCCCAAAUUUACACAAACUAAACUAUUUCAAAUCUCAUAUCUCUUUUUAAUUUCUAAUUAAUCUACACAUGGAAAUAGACUAAUUAGGAACCCAAUAGUAUUUAAAUAACAUCAAUUUAAGAAAAGGAAAAGAAAAAUUUUUGAAGGGUAAAAGACCCAAAUUUUCGAAAAUCACAAAGAAGGGAUAUGGGUGUUUUCUUGCUUGAUCUAUCCAUAUAUACACAUAUACAACACAUUUAAGUCUAGAUCUAAAAGGAUUCAUCACUUACU
RNAcentral lists this long non-coding RNA (644 nucleotides) under Salvia miltiorrhiza (redroot sage). RNAcentral describes it as "long non-coding RNA (SMIL_LNC013085)". The record is from RNAcentral. Lineage: Eukaryota; Viridiplantae; Streptophyta; Magnoliopsida; Lamiales; Lamiaceae.